AACAUUUUCUUCAUUAAACAUAUGAUUUCGCUCUUGUCGCAAUCUACUGUUCUGUAAACCUUGAUUCCUACCCUUUAUAUAAUUUCACCCAAACAGUAACAAUUUUUACCUUCAAAUUUUCAACUUCUCUAACAAUUCAUUAUUUGAGGUUAUUAUGAAUUAUUAUAUUGUGAAAAAAAAAAUUCGUAAGAAAAUUUGAAUUUAAAGAUUCCUAUUAAACAUUUGGAUGGCGGUUACAAUGAUAUUGGACAUCUUUAAAAUCGCUACGAAGCUAAAUACAUUGCAUGAUUCCCCCAGACCUAAAUUAACCUCAGCAACGAGUUGAAUAAGUUAGUUUAAUUAUAUUAAUGUGUAUUUU
Ceratitis capitata (Mediterranean fruit fly) is the source of this 358-nucleotide long non-coding RNA. RefSeq lists it as uncharacterized. The record is from RefSeq and is a predicted model, not a curated record. The transcript is spliced from 3 exons. NCBI's taxonomy places the organism in Eukaryota, Metazoa, Arthropoda, Insecta, Diptera, Tephritidae.